Molecule: ribosomal RNA, 422 nt
Filed under: uncultured eukaryote
Lineage: Eukaryota
Description: SSU rRNA
Rfam family: Eukaryotic small subunit ribosomal RNA
Source: RNAcentral
CCAGCAGCCGCGGUAAUUCCAGCUCCAAUAGCGUAUAUUAAAGUUGUUGCGGUUAAAAAGCUCGUAGUUGGAUCUCGGCGGCCAGGGGGUGGUUCGCUCUACGGCGUUACUGCCCCAUUUGGCCGUGUGAUUGGCGGAGGUUUCGGGGUGCUCUUCGCUGAGUGACCCGGGGCGCCGUCAGGUUUACUUUGAAAAAAUUAGAGUGCUCAAAGCAGGCUUUCACGCUUGAAUAUUCGUGCAUGGAAUAAUGGAAUAGGAACUCGUUUCUAUUUUGUUGGUUUUCGGAAAUCGAGUUAAUGAUUAAUAGGGACAAUUGGGGGCAUUAGUAUUCAGACGACAGAGGUGAAAUUCUUGGACCGUCUGAAGACUAACUACUGCGAAAGCAUUUGCCAAGAGUGUUUUCAUUAAUCAAGAACGAAAGU